RNAcentral lists this ribosomal RNA (253 nucleotides) under uncultured bacterium. Its description in RNAcentral is "partial 16S ribosomal RNA". It matches the Rfam family "Bacterial small subunit ribosomal RNA", at positions 524 to 776 of the family's 1533-position model. The record is from RNAcentral.
UACGUGGGGGGCAAGCGUUGUUCGGAAUUACUGGGCGUAAAGGGCUCGUAGGUGGCCAACUAAGUCAGACGUGAAAUCCCUCAGCUUAACUGGGGAACUGCGUCUGAUACUGGAUGGCUUGAGUUUGGGAGAGGGAUGCGGAAUUCCAGGUGUAGCGGUGAAAUGCGUAGAUAUCUGGAGGAACACCGGUGGCGAAGGCGGCAUCCUGGACCAACACUGACACUGAGGAGCGAAAGCCAGGGGAGCAAACGGG